RNAcentral lists this ribosomal RNA (254 nucleotides) under uncultured bacterium. Its description in RNAcentral is "partial 16S ribosomal RNA". It matches the Rfam family "Bacterial small subunit ribosomal RNA", at positions 524 to 776 of the family's 1533-position model. The record is from RNAcentral.
UACGUAGGGUGCGAGCGUUGUCCGGAUUUAUUGGGCGUAAAGAGCUCGUAGGCGGCUCGGUAAGUCGGGUGUGAAACCUCCAGGCUCAACCUGGAGACGCCACCUGAUACUGCUGUGGCUAGAGUCCGGUAGGGGAGUGUGGAACUCCUGGUGUAGCGGUGAAAUGCGCAGAUAUCAGGAAGAACACCAGCGGCGAAGGCGGCACUCUAGGCCGGAACUGACGCUGAGACGCGAAAGCGUGGGGAGCAAACAGG